UGAACUCCACCACGCCGCAGCUGCUGUCAUUGGCCCUGGUAGCCCCAAGCACGCCAGUGACACUGCGCUGCCUCUCGGGGUCAAUUAGUCCUUUUUCUGUCCAAAUACCUGGGGCUCCAGCGCUCGGGCCAACAGUGGCCGCGCUAGGGGUGCCGCCAAGGCGGCCGCCUCGGGCUAAGUCAAUGAGCGCCACCCGUGGGCUCAGGAACCCCGCCGGGCAGUAAACAGAAGUUGGAGGGACUCAGGCCAACCGCAAGUUGCACUACUGGAAGAACUCUUCCGGGAGCAAGCCCAGCACCGGGUGGGAAGGCCGGCUCUGAGCUCAGUGCACUGGGUUUUUUUUUUUCUUUUUUAAAGAGAUCGUGCAGGCAGGAGAGCAAGCGUCCCCAAAGUCAAUCGCAAGACAGCUCCGGGAUGCCAACAGAGGAGGCCCAGAGUCCCCUGCCCCUGGCCGAGGCGCUUGCCCGAUGCGCUCCAGCUACCGGGGGGCCCCCCGGCUCCGCGUCCCGUGUGACCCCGCAGGGUACGGGGAGAGUCGGGCUGGCGGCCGCACGCAAGCACGCUCAGGUGCCAAGCCGGGCUCCCGGCCCGCGCUCCACCCGCUGCAGCCCUGCACCCCAGGAAGGCCAGGCAGGCAGGCGCAGCCCAGCGACCUCCCUGCGGCCCGAAGAGGUGUCAGUCCUCACAUGAGACUUUUCUGGAAAGACGACGUCAACGUUUGCUUUGGGCCAAGUAUCUCUGUCCCUCUCCAGCACCCCAUCAUGUUCCACGCUUAGUAUUUUAAGAUGGAUACUGUAGGUAACCAGUUGCCUCGCAGGAUGUGCGGAAAAGCUGCUUUAGGCUCCCUGUCUGCAAUGAUGUCAGUGUAUCUGAAUAUAUGAGCCUGAGCCUGUUCAUGCAAAGUAUUUUCACCCCAGGGCCUUUGUUAAGAUGAAGAGGCCCUUCUGAUAGCCUAAGGCCAUGACACCUUGUUUGGUCUUCCUCUGCAGCAUUAGCUGUUAAAAAUUAAUUGUCGUCUCCCUCCAUGAAAACUUCAGUGACAUCCAGAUCAAAAAAGUAGAAGUAAUCUGGUAAUCAACAGAGACCCGUCACUAGACAACAUGUAGAGACUGAAAGACUUUGGAGCACUCACUCAGUUCUAAAUGGGAUGUCUUUAUUACACCCUUCACCUCAAGACCCAGGGAUCUUUGAAGAAGAGGAAGUGGAGAGAUUGUAAGAGCCAGAGGUGGUGGCCAACUCCGAGGACAGCGUUUUCCUGGCACAACAAGGCUGAAGCAAGUAUGAACUUGCAGAAACUCAGACAGCAUACACAAGACAUACAUAAGUUUAAGAUAAACAAAACCUCAGCGUAGAGAAGGAGAGUUAGUCCCACCUCUAUUGGUAGCUGCCAAGAGAGGGGAAAUUGGUUUUCUCCAAUGGAGCAACACUGGGUUUACCAAUCACACUCCAAGGCCAGCCCCGUACUCAGAAGCACUUGACCAAUACAGAACAAACUCCAUACUUUGGUGGGUGUUCAUUUGUACUGGGUGUUUUCUCCUUUUUGUUUUGAUUUGGUUUGGGUGGGUUAUUUCUCUUUGAAGAUAGCAAAAUAAUAAAAGUUUGGUGAGUCGGGAGGGAGAGAGGAUCAGGGAGGAACUGGAAAAAGGAAAAGAAAUAUAUUGUAUGAAAAAAUGUUAAAAAUAAUAAAGUAUUCUUUGUGCUACUCA
This is a long non-coding RNA of Peromyscus californicus insignis, 1706 nucleotides long. RefSeq lists it as uncharacterized. The record is from RefSeq and is a predicted model, not a curated record. The transcript has 5 exons. NCBI's taxonomy places the organism in Eukaryota, Metazoa, Chordata, Mammalia, Rodentia, Cricetidae.